Molecule: long non-coding RNA, 3531 nt
Filed under: Centruroides sculpturatus (bark scorpion)
Lineage: Eukaryota; Metazoa; Arthropoda; Arachnida; Scorpiones; Buthidae
Description: uncharacterized LOC111637418, transcript variant X2
Source: RNAcentral
CGAAAUGCGAAAUAAUGGUGGGUGAAAUAAAUCGAAAUCGUAAGAAUUUGAUUUAUUUCAUCCGAUGGCCAAAAAUAGACGAAAAAGAUAUUUAUCAACUUAUUCGAACGAAUUUCGUGCAAUUUUCGAAGAUCGUCGAGCCUCAAGAUGUAGAAUUUAAGAAUGUCGUCUUUUUCCUCUCUACGGUGCACAUUCAACAUGAUGUAACUGCAGAAGAUAAUUUAUUCAUUAAAUUCCGAACACAAGAAAAUGAUUAAAGCAAAAUAAAAAAAAUUUAUAAAUUAAUUCAUUAAAAAGUAAAAUUGAUCUUUAUUAUUUUUAUUCUUACGAAAUUCGAACAUUGUUUACGCAUCUUUUAACGUUUGUUCGAAAUUCGUCACACGUGACACGAUUUGCAGUUCGUUUCUGUUUAUCGUUCGAGUCGAAUUUGCGUUUCUUGCACUCUUAAAUUGUGUGCUGUUUUGCCGUUUGCGGAGUUUUCUAAAGAAGGUAAAAGAAUUUUUAGAAAACAUCUCGGUUCAACGUUUGAUGGUCGGCCGUUUCCGCUUUCGAUUCGAAUCUUUUAGAUUUAAUCAGGGAACUGCGAAUGAAGAGUGGUUCCGCUCUCGGACUCUUAUCGCGCCCGAAGAGACGUUCGAGGACCGGGCGCUCGACCGUGUCUCUUCCCAAUCGAUUUGUUCGGUGCUGAAAGAGACCGUCGAGCAAAGGACAGCGGGUUUCCCCGCUACCUCUUGCUCGAUGGUCUCUUGGAAGGUGGUGUGGCAUACACCUCCCCCAAAUGCGUGUGGCGUGGCAUUCUCCCUGAGUUGGGAUAUUGCGACGCUACACUCUGGGUCCAUUGAACUUGGCCAAGGUCUCCGGGGAUCGGCCAGCCACAGAUCUUGUGGCUGGCCGAUCCCCAAAGACCUUGCCACAUGAUCUGUGGCUGCCACAGAUCUUGUGGCUUUAUUGUGGAGGAUAUAGAAACUGACAGCUUGUCCGAGUUGUCACUUCCCGUUUUCUCGCGUUCUGCCUCUCCGUCCGCCACGGGACGUCACUGCCUUCAGGAAGUCGAAGGGGAAAGAAUGGGAGGAGAGAGCUGCCGAAGUUGAGGAAUUUAUUUGUUUGUUUGGUUGGUUAAGUUACGGCAACGCAACACUUGGGCGAUCUGCCUAGGGGAUGCCUUGCGAGAGGUCUUUUUAAGGGUAACUGGUCUCGUAUUCAGGCGUUACAGACAUGGAGAAAACCCGAAAAACUUCAAGUGGCCAGCCUGUCCUGGCAAGGCGGGAACUCACAACCGAACUUCCAGUGUUCAGGGAACGAAACCGCUUGGCCACUGGUGGGCCCCGAAGUUGAGAAAGUGUCGGUGGUUUUGUUGCUGCGGACGGCUGCGGUUCCAUUGGCCUAGGCGGUAAUCCUCUUCGAUUUUCCCCAACUCGUCCUUCUGCACAAGCAUGCGACAUUCUUAUCGGAUUCAACACUUUUCAUUCGGACAUGACAUCUUUUCCUGGACGUAACCAUCUCUUAUCCGGGUGUGAUCACGGACUUGCUCCCAAAAGUGACAUUCGGUCGACGACAACGGUGACUCCCGAUUGUGACCACCCGGACGUGAAAGUCUCACCGGCCGCGACAUGCCGACAUUCGGCCAACCUCUCUUCCUAAACAGGCUUAUGAGGAUUGGUUAGGUUAGGUUAGAAUAGGCUAGGUAAAAUCCUUUGCUCCUCUCAUGACACUGUUCGGGAAGAAAGACUGUCUGAUAAAGGAUAAUUUGAGAAGGAGAAAAAUCUCUCUCCCCAACUUUACCACGAAGAGGGCGAAGUGGCCAUUUAUCAUAAAAGUGAAUAUUUCCCGAAAUCUCCGAUAACAUGCCGACAGAAAGAUUACUUGAGUCACGGACACGGACACAACAGCACACGAAGAUAUACACCGUUUAACAGUUACUCGAAUUCUCGAACUCACGCACUUACACGUCAAGCGCCUCGUUCUGUGUAAUUCGACACAAUGAAACAACCAGAACACUCGCUUCCCACAAAUCCAACCCCUGGGUCCUCGUCCCGGGAAGUAGAAACGUCAAUUUUAAAGAUUAAUUAAAAGACUUUAAAUUGGUGGCCGAUAAACUUGCAUCAAUUAAAUGGAAUUUCAGAUAUUCGCAUCAAUAAUCGUAUAGUGAUAAAUUUUUCUAUUAAGGUAGGUUUGUUCUUCCACGGCAUCUACCAACAACAGCGUAAUACGUUUGUAAAUUUUCUAAAAAGUAAUUUUUCGAGCUGCUUUCGAAUUUACAUAAGCCACUACUUCCCUCAACAAAAGUAUGAGGUAGUCCUAUCUUACGGUAGGAAACACAACACUAAUUUAAAAUAAUUAGUGUUAUUAAACAUCCUAUAAAUACUUUUAAUUUUUAAUUUGUUUAUUUAACUUCGCUGGUAACCCUCGAUGUUAAAUGUAUCCACCAUUUUUUCAACAAAUUUCCCGUGAGUCAAUGCGCGACGUUCACUGAGUCACGUGAUGUUGUGAACAUGCGCCGCAACGAUUUUUUCUUGGAGUUAAAACGUAAACCGUAAACUUCUGCUUGCCGUGUACAAGUAACGUUUGAACUGCGCCGCAACCUCUCUAUUGAUUAGACUGUUUGUUUGUUGCUUACAAUUUGUGUUCAUUUUAAAAUAAUUUUGGGCGUUUUCGUUAAGAGGAAGAAAACGGAGUCAAAAAAUUAAUAGUUAAGCCUGUAUAUAUGUUAUUAAUAUGGAAUGUCUUCGGGAUUCCUGAGAACUCUGAAUCAGGAAGAAAAGGGAAUGAUGAGAAUUAUAUAAUCUAAUUAUGGAAAUGUAUAGAAAUGUUAAACCAUGUGUUAGGAUAUAUUUAAAGUGUUACUAAUAAAAGAAAUUUAGGAUUUGAGGUGGCUUUGGAGUUUAUCAAAGCCCAUAUUUUAUUUAUUUGUUUAUUUAUUUAUUAAUAUUAGGUAAAUUAUUGUAGUUUGCAGUGAGAAAAGAGCUAUGAUAUAUGUUAUUCACAAUUUAUAUUGUGUUUAUUGAUGAGAUAGAGAUUAAAGUUGAGCCAAAAAAAAUUAGGAACAGGUCGGAGAAGGGGGAUUAAAAGUCAGUAGAUUUAACCCUUGAAUUUCAAAUAUACGCUGCCAGAGGAAAAAGAGGAAAUUCCAACUAUUUAGACAACAUAUUCAAGAUAGUUACAGACACAUAAUAACAGAGAUGAUUAGAGGGUGAUGAGUUAGAGGUUGACAAAUAAAAUAGGUAAAUGUAGGAUGGCAAGAGUUCAGACAGUAUUAUUAGAUAGUGAUAGUGAUUAGUGAUGACAUGGAAGCUAAAAGAAAGACAUGUUAGAUAUUCUACUUUUGAUAGUGCAGAAUAUUGUAUAAAUUACCAAACUAAGUUAUGUAGAGCCAACGUGUGUUAUAAGAAAUAUAAUUUCUCAUGUCAAAAAUACGAAACUAUUUCAUCCCAAAUACUAUUUCUCACUAUACUAAAUCAAGUAAAACUGUAUAGCACACUUUACGUAGUGUUAAAGUUAAUAAAUUAUUUAAAAAAUAGUUUGUAUCUGAAU